GCUCAGAUUGAACGCUGGCGGCAGGCCUAACACAUGCAAGUCGAACGGUAACAGGAAGAAGCUUGCUUCUUUGCUGACGAGUGGCGGACGGGUGAGUAAUGUCUGGGAAACUGCCUGAUGGAGGGGGAUAACUACUGGAAACGGUAGCUAAUACCGCAUAACGUCGCAAGACCAAAGAGGGGGACCUUCGGGCCUCUUGCCAUCGGAUGUGCCCAGAUGGGAUUAGCUAGUAGGUGGGGUAACGGCUCACCUAGGCGACGAUCCCUAGCUGGUUUGAGAGGAUGACCAGCCACACUGGAACUGAGACACGGUCCAGACUCCUACGGGAGGCAGCAGUGGGGAAUAUUGCACAAUGGGCGCAAGCCUGAUGCAGCCAUGCCGCGUGUAUGAAGAAGGCCUUCGGGUUGUAAAGUACUUUCAGCGGGGAGGAAGGGAGUAAAGUUAAUACCUUUGCUCAUGACGUACCCGCA
This 470-nucleotide ribosomal RNA is filed under the name Escherichia fergusonii. Its description in RNAcentral is "bacterial SSU rRNA". It matches the Rfam family "Bacterial small subunit ribosomal RNA", at positions 22 to 483 of the family's 1533-position model. Lineage: Bacteria; Pseudomonadati; Pseudomonadota; Gammaproteobacteria; Enterobacterales; Enterobacteriaceae. The record is from RNAcentral.